This 460-nucleotide ribosomal RNA is filed under the name uncultured bacterium. RNAcentral describes it as "partial 16S ribosomal RNA". It matches the Rfam family "Bacterial small subunit ribosomal RNA", at positions 338 to 795 of the family's 1533-position model. The record is from RNAcentral.
CCUACGGGAGGCAGCAGUGAGGAAUAUUGGUCAAUGGACGGAAGUCUGAACCAGCCAUGCCGCGUGCAGGAAGACGGCUCUAUGAGUUGUAAACUGCUUUUGUACAAGGGUAAACCUGAAUACGUGUAUUCAGCUGAAAGUACUGUACGAAUAAGGAUCGGCUAACUCCGUGCCAGCAGCCGCGGUAAUACGGAGGAUCCAAGCGUUAUCCGGAUUUAUUGGGUUUAAAGGGUGCGUAGGCGGAUUGUUAAGUUAGUGGUGAAAUUUCCGAGCUUAACUCGGGAACUGCCACUAAUACUGUUGAUCUAGAGAGUAGAUGCGGUAGGCGGAAUGUAUGGUGUAGCGGUGAAAUGCUUAGAGAUCAUACAGAACACCGAUUGCGAAGGCAGCUUACCAAUCUAUAUCUGACGUUGAGGCACGAAAGCGUGGGGAGCAAACAGGAUUAGAUACCCCAGUAGUC